This 468-nucleotide ribosomal RNA is filed under the name uncultured bacterium. Its description in RNAcentral is "partial 16S ribosomal RNA". It matches the Rfam family "Bacterial small subunit ribosomal RNA", at positions 28 to 507 of the family's 1533-position model. The record is from RNAcentral.
GACGAACGCUGGCGGCGUGCUUAACACAUGCAAGUCGAACGGAAAGGGCCUGCUUUUGUCUUCUGCCCGAGUUGCUAGCGAGCGAGUAACUAGUGCGUAACCUGCCCUUGCUUCUGGGAUAACCUCCAGAUACUGACGACAAUUCCUGCCAGGUGCUCCUCCUGCACGGUGUGGGUUGGGGAGUUUCGGCGGUUGCGGUUGGUCUCGCGGCAUAGCAGCUUGUUGGUGGGGUUGUGGCGUACCAUGGCUUUGACGGGUAGCCGGCCUGGGAGGGUGACCGGCCACAGUGGGACUGAGGUAGCGCCCAGACUCCUACGGGAGGCAGCGGUGGAGGAUAGUGCGCGAUGGGCGGAAGCCGGAAGCAGCAACGCCGCGUGCGGGAUGACGGCCUACGGGGUGUAAAGCGCUUUCGCCUGAGACGAAGCGUGAGUGACGGUAAUGGGUAAAGAAGCACCGGCUAACUACGUG